RNAcentral lists this long non-coding RNA (843 nucleotides) under Pan troglodytes (chimpanzee). RNAcentral's name for it is "long non-coding RNA NONPTRT016544". The record is from RNAcentral. Lineage: Eukaryota; Metazoa; Chordata; Mammalia; Primates; Hominidae.
UUCCAGAAUUGUUCUAUAAUACUAAACAUACCUAUAUGGUUUGGAUAUUUGUUGCCUCCAAAUCUCAGGUUGAAAUGUAAUCCCUAGUUUUGGAGGUGGGGCCUUGUGGGAGGUGCUGGGGUUGUGGGAGCUGAUCCCUCAUAGAUGGCUUCCUGCUGUCCUUGCAACAGUGAGAGAGUUCUUGCAACAUCUGGUUGUUUAAAAGUAUGUGGCUCCUCUCCUCUCUCUCUCUCUUGUUCCCACUCUUGCUAUGUGAUGCACUGUCUGCCCCUUUCACUUCCAACAUGAUUGAAUGCUUGUUGAGGCCUCACCAGUUGAGGCCUCAUCUACAGGUCAGCCAAUUAAACCUCUUUCAUUUAUAAGUUACCUAGCCUUGGGUAUUUCUACACGGAAAUGCAAAAACAGCCUAAUACAGAGAUAUGCCAGAUUGGAAAUAGAAUGAUGGUGCUGAGAAAAGUUAUAUGUUUAGAAUCCCUUGAUUUGUGUGUGUGUAAAUUGUCAAACAAAAUGCCAUAUUAGUAUUCAAUGCACUUAGGUUUUUAGUAGCUUAAAGAUAAGUGUGUUUUGAUCAGUCUAAUAAAUACAUUCAUUUUACUACAUGUGGCAAAAUUUAACAGGGUGUAAAUUCUCAAUAUUUUAUAUCAUUACAGUAUUACACGUUAAAUAUGUUGCCACAAGACAUGGAGUUGAAUUUUCGAGCUAAGACGCUACUGUCUACGUGUGUGUGUUUCUACAAGUGCCUUAGAUAUUUACACCUGUUUAUAAAUCCUUUAAAUUCAAUUCGCAAAACUGCUAAAUGCGGAAAUGGCUCUUGAAAAAUCACUGCUUUCCUUUGACCUCUAC